This 87-nucleotide non-coding RNA is filed under the name Pseudomonas tolaasii NCPPB 2192. The record is from RNAcentral. Lineage: Bacteria; Pseudomonadati; Pseudomonadota; Gammaproteobacteria; Pseudomonadales; Pseudomonadaceae.
UGUGGGAGCUGGCUUGCCUGCGAUGCAAUCACCUCGGUGUGUCAGUCACACCACAGUGAUGCUAUCGCAGGCAAGCCAGCUCCCACA